CUUGUCAAUGUCAGCAGCUCCUCUCCGCGUCUCUCCCGUUUGCUUCAAGGGUACAGACCUGGCUGUUUAAUAUUAAUAACAACGGAUUCAGCCUGGUCUCCUACUGUCCCUCCCAGCUCAGACAUCUGUGAGGGCACGCCAAGGGUUCAUUUAAAAAAUAAAACACUACAGGGUUUGGCACUAGAAAAGUUUCAGAGUUAAAGCCCAUUUUAAAAUAAAAGGGCUUUCUAUUCGCCCCCACCCCCCGCUGCCCCUAAGCUUCUCCGGGCUGCAGCGACAUAUCGUCUUGUCCUCAAUUGAAACUGAGUGUUGGAAACUACUCCUUUGUAAUGAGAACAUUAUUGGAGAAGUUGUUCUUGUGCGUUCCUUUUCUGGAACUCACUCAAGUCUGGGCUCUUACAAUACUCUUCAUCAGCUGAAAGGCUCCUUUCCUUUUAUCCAAUUAGUUACCUCUAAUCCAAAGCAGCACUUGGAGGAUCCAGUUCAUUUUAAAAGGCACCAAGUUACCAAACAGCUUCGCCACUGUCUGCUUUCAAUUUCUCAGCUGGCUGGGAGUUCAAGUGAGAUUGUCCUAACUUUGCAAGCCCGUGCAGCUUCAAGGCACUGAGCUAGGAGAGUCUGUGCCAAGGUGUGGGUCACGCCCCAGGAGAACACGCCCCAAGUGAAGCUGCAUAAUGUUCAGAAAUUGAGCAUGAAAAAUGUGUAGCACGUGGUGCUAUUUAAUAAUCAAUAGCAGAGUCAUUUGGACUUCAAUAUGGAAAUAUGAUGACAAGGAUAGCUCUUCUGCCAAGUCCUCGGACAGAUCACUAGAGCCGGGAUUUGGUGACGACCACUCCUGGCAACAUGAUACUGGACCAGCUGCAAUGACGAUCAGAAACAAAAGCACAGAUGAAGACAAGUGUCCAAGUUCUGGAGCCACGUGCUUCUUUGUUUCAUGAGUGCCACAGCAUGAACAAUCCUAUCAAAGCCAAGGUUCUGGCCUUCUCCCUACCUUAUCCUCCAUUAUGGAUUAAUCCCUUUUCUGGUGAGUAUGCUUUCAUAGUUUACUCCCUUUUCAACUCUUCAAGUUGCCAGUUGUCUAAGCUGACCUUAGAAAAUUCCUGCUUCCUGACUUGUACCUACUUUUCAGCUUUUUCUCAUUCUUCCACAAAAACCCUACUACUGCAAGCCUGAGUUAACUAGCUCCCCUUAAAUAAGAUUGCCUACUUUUCCCCCUUUGAUUUUCUUUUCUUUCCUGUCUUUAAAUUUUAUUUUAAGUUGAUGUUUCAGAUGAAGUCUCUCUUGCUAUGCAGUGCAUGCUGGUUUUGAAGUUAUGAUCUGCUUGCCUCAACAUUCCAAGUGAUGGGAUUAAGCACUGUGAC
This 1361-nucleotide long non-coding RNA is filed under the name Cricetulus griseus (Chinese hamster). RNAcentral describes it as "lncRNA (ENSCGRG00000025995.1)". Lineage: Eukaryota; Metazoa; Chordata; Mammalia; Rodentia; Cricetidae. The record is from RNAcentral.